AGAUUUUGAUAAAAAUGUUGGUUUGAGAGUAAGGUAAAUGGUCGGUGUGAUUAUGAUGUUUGUUAGUAUUAAGAGUUGUGGCCUUAGUGAAGUAUUGCGAGAAGUAUGUAGGGUUUUGAUAAAUUGAGUAUGUGUGCAGUUAUAAUAGGGACUAGAUUGGUGAUUGUGGGUAGCUAGAAAAUCAAAGCGAUAGAGUUAGAUGAAUGAAAAUGUUUGAUAUAGGCACUAUGGAAGGAAUAUCUAGAUUUAUUCGACUUUGGUUCUGUAUAUUCUUAUGUGACCAAC
RNAcentral lists this long non-coding RNA (285 nucleotides) under Solanum tuberosum (potato). Its description in RNAcentral is "long non-coding RNA (STUB_LNC011495)". Lineage: Eukaryota; Viridiplantae; Streptophyta; Magnoliopsida; Solanales; Solanaceae. The record is from RNAcentral.